RNAcentral lists this transfer RNA (68 nucleotides) under Ictidomys tridecemlineatus (thirteen-lined ground squirrel). Its description in RNAcentral is "Spermophilus tridecemlineatus (thirteen-lined ground squirrel) tRNA". It matches the Rfam family "tRNA". Rfam says of the family: Transfer RNA (tRNA) molecules are approximately 80 nucleotides in length. Their secondary structure includes four short double-helical elements and three loops (D, anti-codon, and T loops). Further hydrogen bonds mediate the characteristic L-shaped molecular structure. tRNAs have two regions of fundamental functional importance: the anti-codon, which is responsible for specific mRNA codon recognition, and the 3' end, to which the tRNAs corresponding amino acid is attached (by aminoacyl-tRNA synthetases). tRNAs cope with the degeneracy of the genetic code in two manners: having more than one tRNA (with a specific anti-codon) for a particular amino acid; and 'wobble' base-pairing, i.e. permitting non-standard base-pairing at the 3rd anti-codon position. Lineage: Eukaryota; Metazoa; Chordata; Mammalia; Rodentia; Sciuridae. The record is from Rfam by way of RNAcentral.
GUUGUGGCUCAGCGGUAGAGCGCUCACCUAGCACGUGUGAGGCACUGGGUUUGAUCCUCAGCACAACG